This 450-nucleotide ribosomal RNA is filed under the name uncultured bacterium. Its description in RNAcentral is "partial 16S ribosomal RNA". It matches the Rfam family "Bacterial small subunit ribosomal RNA", at positions 354 to 796 of the family's 1533-position model. The record is from RNAcentral.
GUGGGGAAUAUUGGACAAUGGGCGAAAGCCUGAUCCAGCCAUGCCGCGUGUGUGAAGAAGGUCUUCGGAUUGUAAAGCACUUUAAGUUGGGAGGAAGGGCAGUAAGUUAAUACCUUGCUGUUUUGACGUUACCGACAGAAUAAGCACCGGCUAACUUCGUGCCAGCAGCCGCGGUAAUACGAAGGGUACAAGCGUUAAUCGGAAUUACUGGGCGUAAAGCGCGCGUAGGUGGUUUUGUAAGUUGGAGGUGAAAUCCCCGGGCUCAACCUGGGAACUGCCUCCAAAACUGCAUGACUAGAGUACGGUAGAGGGUAGUGGAAUUUCCUGUGUAGCGGUGAAAUGCGUAGAUAUAGGAAGGAACACCAGUGGCGAAGGCGACUACCUGGACUGAUACUGACACUGAGGUGCGAAAGCGUGGGGAGCAAACAGGAUUAGAUACCCUUGUAGUCC